AUUCCAUGAUGAGGACAGGCCUAGAUGUACUCCUGGAGCCUUUCCCAUGCUUCGGGGAUGGACUCUAGUGAAGACUGCUGGAAGUUGGAGAUCUUCCCCCUUAGAGC
Molecule: small nucleolar RNA, 107 nt
Organism: Sorghum bicolor (sorghum)
Lineage: Eukaryota; Viridiplantae; Streptophyta; Magnoliopsida; Poales; Poaceae
Rfam family: Plant small nucleolar RNA R71
About the family: R71 is a member of the C/D box family of snoRNAs containing the C (UGAUGA) and D (CUGA) box motifs. Multiple nearly identical copies of this snoRNA have been identified in Arabidopsis, and it is thought to function as a 2'-O-ribose methylation guide for 18S ribosomal RNA.
Source: Rfam